GGCCUACACAUGCAAGCCGAGCGGUAUGGAUCUUUCGGGAUCCAGAGAGCGGCGUACGGGUGCGGAACACGUGUGCAACCUGCCUUUAUCAGGGGGAUAGCCUUUCGAAAGGAAGAUUAAUACCCCAUAAUAUUUAGAAUGGCAUCAUUUUAAAUUGAAAACUCCGGUGGAUAGAGAUGGGCACGCGCAAGAUUAGAUAGUUGGUGAGGUAACGGCUCACCAAGUCUGCGAUCUUUAGGGGGCCUGAGAGGGUGAUCCCCCACACUGGUACUGAGACACGGACCAGACUCCUACGGGAGGCAGCAGUGAGGAAUAUUGGACAAUGGGUGCGAGCCUGAUCCAGCCAUCCCGCGUGAAGGACGACGGCCCUAUGGGUUGUAAACUUCUUUUGUAUAGGGAUAAACCUACCCUCGUGAGGGUAGCUGAAGGUACUAUACGAAUAAGCACCGGCUAACUCCGUGCCAGCAGCCGCGGUAAUACGGAGGGUGCAAGCGUUAUCCGGAUUUAUUGGGUUUAAAGGGUCCGUAGGCUGAUGUGUAAGUCAGUGGUGAAAUCUCACAGCUUAACUGUGAAACUGCCAUUGAUACUGCAUGUCUUGAGUGUUGUUGAAGUAGCUGGAAUAAGUAGUGUAGCGGUGAAAUGCAUAGAUAUUACUUAGAACACCCAUUGCGAAGGC
This 676-nucleotide ribosomal RNA is filed under the name Flavobacteriaceae bacterium EK. Its description in RNAcentral is "bacterial SSU rRNA". It matches the Rfam family "Bacterial small subunit ribosomal RNA", at positions 45 to 722 of the family's 1533-position model. Lineage: Bacteria; Pseudomonadati; Bacteroidota; Flavobacteriia; Flavobacteriales; Flavobacteriaceae. The record is from RNAcentral.